This 462-nucleotide ribosomal RNA is filed under the name uncultured bacterium. RNAcentral's name for it is "SSU rRNA". It matches the Rfam family "Bacterial small subunit ribosomal RNA", at positions 26 to 518 of the family's 1533-position model. The record is from RNAcentral.
AGGACGAACGCUGGCGGCGUGCUUAACACAUGCAAGUCGAACGAGGCGCUUGCGCCUAGUGGCGAACGGGUGAGUAACACGUGAGCAACCUGCCCUUGGCUCUGGGAUAGCCUCCGGAAACGGGGAUUAAUACCGGACAUGACCUUCUCCUGCAUGGGGGGAGGGUGGAAAGUUUUUCGGCCAGGGAGGGGCUCGCGGCCUAUCAGCUUGUUGGGGGGGUAACGGCCCACCAAGGCGACGACGGGUAGCCGGCCUGAGAGGGCGACCGGCCACACUGGGGACUGAGACACGGCCCAGACUCCUACGGGAGGCAGCAGUGGGGAAUAUGCACAAUGGGGGAAACCCUGAUGCAGCGACGCCGCGUGCGGGAUGAAGGCCUUCGGGUUGUAAAGCUCGUUUGGCGGGGACGAUGAUGACGGUACCCGCAGAAUAAGCCCCGGCUAACUUCGCGCCAGCAGCCGC